UACGUAGGGUGCGAGCGUUGUCCGGAAUUAUUGGGCGUAAAGGGCUCGUAGGCGGUUUGUCGCGUCGGGAGUGAAAAUCCAUUGGCUUAACUGGUGGCUUGCUUUCGAUACGGGCAGACUGGAGGUAUGCAGGGGAGAACGGAAUUCCUGGUGUAGCGGUGAAAUGCGCAGAUAAUCAGGAGGAACACCGGUGGCGAAGGCGGGUCUCGUGGGCAGUGACUGACGUGAGGAGCGAAAGCGUGGGGAGCGAACAGGAUUGAGAUACCGGAGUAGUCA
This 276-nucleotide ribosomal RNA is filed under the name uncultured bacterium. RNAcentral describes it as "partial 16S ribosomal RNA". It matches the Rfam family "Bacterial small subunit ribosomal RNA", at positions 524 to 796 of the family's 1533-position model. The record is from RNAcentral.